RNAcentral lists this ribosomal RNA (468 nucleotides) under uncultured bacterium. RNAcentral describes it as "partial 16S ribosomal RNA". It matches the Rfam family "Bacterial small subunit ribosomal RNA", at positions 28 to 507 of the family's 1533-position model. The record is from RNAcentral.
GACGAACGCUGGCGGCGUGCUUAACACAUGCAAGUCGAACGGAAAGGCCCUGCUUUUGUGGGGUGCUCGAGUGGCGAACGGGUGAGUAACACGUGAGUAACCUGCCCUUGACUUUGGGAUAACUUCAGGAAACUGGGGCUAAUACCGGAUAGGAGCUCCUGCUGCAUGGUGGUGGUUGGAAAGUUUCGGCGGUUGGGGAUGGACUCGCGGCUUAUCAGCUUGUUGGUGGGGUAGUGGCUUACCAAGGCUUUGACGGGUAGCCGGCCUGAGAGGGUGAACGGGCACAUUGGGACUGAGAUACGGCCCAGAAUCCUACGGGAGGCAGCAGUGGGGAAUAUUGCAGAAUGGGCGGAAGCCUGAUGCAGCAACGCCGCGUGCGGGAUAACGGCCUUCGGGUUGUAAACCGCUUUCGCCUGUGACGAAGCGUGAGUGACGGUAAUGGGUAAAGAAGCACCGGCUAACUACGUG